Molecule: ribosomal RNA, 484 nt
Filed under: uncultured bacterium
Lineage: Bacteria
Description: partial 16S ribosomal RNA
Rfam family: Bacterial small subunit ribosomal RNA
Source: RNAcentral
AUUGAACGCUGGCGGCAGGCCUAACACAUGCGAGUCGAGCGGAUGAAGGGAGCUUGCUCCUGGAUUCAGCGGCGGACGGGUGAGUAAUGCCUAGGAAUCUGCCUGGUAGUGGGGGAUAACGUCCGGAAACGGGCGCUAAUACCGCAUACGUCCUGAGGGAGAAAGUGGGGGAUCUUCGGACCUCACGCUAUCAGAUGAGCCUAGGUCGGAUUAGCUAGUUGGUGGGGUAAAGGCCUACCAAGGCGACGAUCCGUAACUGGUCUGAGAGGAUGAUCAGUCACACUUGAACUGAGACACGGUCCAGACUCCUACGGGAGGCAGCAGUGGGGAAUAUUGGACAAUGGGCGAAAGCCUGAUCCAGCCAUGCUGCGUGUGUGAAGAAGGUCUUCGGAUUGUAGAGCACUUUAAGUUGGGAGGAAGGGCAGUAAGUUAAUACCUUGCUGUUUUGACGUUACCAACAGAAUAAGCACCGGCUAACUUCGUG